AUUUAAAUAGCUUAUAAUAGAGCAUAAUAUUGAAGAUAUUAAGGAAAUCAGAGAUUUUUAAAUA
Molecule: transfer RNA, 64 nt
Filed under: Epitrix abeillei
Lineage: Eukaryota; Metazoa; Arthropoda; Insecta; Coleoptera; Chrysomelidae
Description: tRNA-Phe
Source: RNAcentral